GACGAACGCUGGCGGCGUGCUUAACACAUGCAAGUCGAACGGAAAGGCCCCUUUGGGGGUACUCGAGUGGCGAACGGGUGAGUAACACGUGAGUAACCUGCCCUUGACUUCGGGAUAACUUCAGGAAACUGGGGCUAAUACCGGAUAGGAAUCCUUGCUGCAUGGUGGGGGUUGGAAAGCUUCGGCGGUUUUAGAUGGACUCGCGGCUUAUCAGCUUGUUGGUGGGGUAGUGGCUUACCAAGGCUUUGACGGGUAGCCGGCCUGAGAGGGCGACCGGCCACAUUGGGACUGAGAUACGGCCCAGACUCCUACGGGUGGCAGCAGUGGGGAAUAUUGCACAAUGGGCGGAAGCCUGAUGCAGCAACGCCGCGUGCGGGAUGACGGCCUUCGGGUUGUAAACCGCGUUCAGCAGGGGCGAAGCUUGUGGUGACGGUACCUGCAGAAGAAGCACCGGCUAACUACGUG
This 465-nucleotide ribosomal RNA is filed under the name uncultured bacterium. RNAcentral describes it as "partial 16S ribosomal RNA". It matches the Rfam family "Bacterial small subunit ribosomal RNA", at positions 28 to 507 of the family's 1533-position model. The record is from RNAcentral.